AACGUAGGACGCAAGCGUUAUCCGGAGUUACUGGGCGUAAAGCGCGGGCAGGCGGUUCUGCCAGUCUGAUGUGAAAUCUCUCAGCUCAACUGGGAGCAGCCAUUGGAAAUUACAGAACUGGAGUCUGACAGAGGUAGGCGGAAUUCCGGGUGGAGUGGUGAAAUGCGUAGAGAUCCGGAGGAACACCAGAGGCGAAGGCGGCCUACUGGGUCAGUACUGACGCUGAGCCGCGAAAGCCAGGGGAGCGAACGGG
RNAcentral lists this ribosomal RNA (253 nucleotides) under uncultured bacterium. RNAcentral describes it as "partial 16S ribosomal RNA". It matches the Rfam family "Bacterial small subunit ribosomal RNA", at positions 524 to 776 of the family's 1533-position model. The record is from RNAcentral.